UGCAAUGAUGAGUCUUUAGACUAGAGUCUCUGACAUUAACUGAUGUCCUCACAGCUACCUGAGCA
Anolis carolinensis (green anole) is the source of this 65-nucleotide small nucleolar RNA. NCBI's taxonomy places the organism in Eukaryota, Metazoa, Chordata, Lepidosauria, Squamata, Anolidae. The record is from Ensembl.